Molecule: long non-coding RNA, 1243 nt
Filed under: Marmota monax (woodchuck)
Lineage: Eukaryota; Metazoa; Chordata; Mammalia; Rodentia; Sciuridae
Source: RNAcentral
GUUGGGAUCACCUGGAGAGGUUUUCAAAAUCUUGAUACUAAAUGAAAUCAGAAUUUCUGGGCUUGUGAUCCAGGCAAUAGUAUUGGUUAAAUAUCUCCAGUUGAUUCCAAUGUGCAAUCAAUGUUGAGGACUAUUAUACAAGUUGGAUACAGCCCAUGUAAUUACAUAUUUCAAGCCCCAGAUCAGAACAUAUAUGAUAGCUAUCAUUUCUUGAGUGCCUGUUCUGACAGGGAUUCUGAUAUCCUUAUCUUUUUCUCAGGAAAAACCUUAAUUGGGUGACAGUACAAUUACUUUUCACAUAUGAGGAACGGAGGAGGUAGGUAGCUUACUUUAUAUCCUAUAGCUGGAGGAUACAGCUAACUCCAAAGUCCAGAUUCUUUAACGCAGCUGACUAUUACAACAAUGUGAGAUUGAUGGGGUUUAUGUUUCAGAUAUGAGACAAUUAUGUGUUGUAGGGAGAGCAUCAAAAAGUUGAGAAUUUAUAGACAUUUCAGUGACUUAUAGGAAAUAUAGGCAGCAAAUUGGAAUCACAGCUGAUUUAGAAUCAGACACAUGUUAGCUAUAGCUGACAUCUCCUAAAUCUUUGAAAUCACUAGAUUUCGAAAAAGAAGCCUAGAUUUUUUCCACUGAGUAAAUGGGGAAAUCAAGACUGUUUUGGUUCAAGACCAGUCAAUCUAGGAGUUGAACCCAUUUGAGGAGAGCAUUGGCAAUGGCUGUUCCUACCACUUCUUUCGUAGUGUUUUUAAGAGUGGGCUGGCGAGAAUGUGGGGGAAAACGUACACUUACUUGUACAUUGCUGGUGGGACUGCAAAUUGGUGCAGCCAAUUUGGAAAGUAAGGAGAUUCCUUGGAAAGCUGGGAAUGGAACCACCAUUUGACCCAGCUAUUCCCCUUCUUGGACUAUACCCAAAAGACCUAAAAAGAGCAUACUACAGGGACACAGCUACAUCAAUGUUCAUAGCAGCACAAUUCACAAUAGCUAGAAUGUGGAACCAACCUAGAUGCCCUUCAAUAGAUGAAUGGAUAAAAAAAUGUGGCAUUUAUACACAAUGGAAUAUUACUCAGCACUAAAAAAUAACAAAAUCAUGGCAUUUGCAGGGACAUGGAUGGCAUUAGAGCAGAUUAUGCUAAGUGAAGUUAGCCAAUCCCUAAAAAAACAAAUGCCAAAUGUUUUCUUUGAUAUAAGAGGGGCGACUCAAAACAGAGUAAGGAGGAAGAGCAUGAGAAGAAGAUUACCACUAAAC